Molecule: ribosomal RNA, 254 nt
Filed under: uncultured bacterium
Lineage: Bacteria
Description: partial 16S ribosomal RNA
Rfam family: Bacterial small subunit ribosomal RNA
Source: RNAcentral
UACGUAGGGUCCGAGCGUUGUCCGGAUUCAUUGGGCGUAAAGAGCUCGUAGGCGGUUCCGUAAGUCGGAUGUGAAAACUCAGGGCUCAACCCGGAGACGCCAUCCGAUACUGCGGUGACUUGAGUCUGGUAGGGGAACACGGAAUACCUGGUGUAGCGGUGAAAUGCGCAGAUAUCAGGUGGAACACCGAUGGCGAAGGCAGUGUUCUGGGCCAGUACUGACGCUGAGGAGCGAAAGCGUGGGGAGCAAACAGG